GACUUCUCAGUAGGAAGGGGUGAGGCAGCUGUCCUGAGCCAGGAGCUCCACCAUAUCGUGUCCCAUCCUGUUAAGGCAAUUUUGAGAGGCUGCUCUGGAAUAUGUCUCAAUGGUGGAUGUAGGGAAACUUCACAGGCUUUGAUGGGACUGAGGUGGUGUCUGUUGUGUGAAGACAGGAGCUGAAUGCUCAGGAUCUAGGCUGCUUUUCUUGUGGUCAGUUGGGUUACCUGUUUGGGACCAAGUCCAUGUUUACUAAGGAGGCUGAAUAAAUUCUACAGAGGAAAGUGGAGCUCCCAGGAUGACCGAGGAAGGGUAAGAAAAGGGAUCUCCUUUACAGAAAAGGGCUCAGAUAAGAAGAGACAAUUCAAACAAAAAGCCGAGACCCCCUCCUCCCAUUCCAGUGAGAAGCACAGGCAAAGACAGGAACCAGAGUCGAGCUCACAUGAGGGAAACUCCAAGAAAAGGAAAAUCGGUUCCAAGGACAGCUGCCAAGACAGAGCUGGAGAGGAGCACAGCUUGAUGUUGAAAAAGAAACUAAAGUCCUCCACUUUGCACAGCAAUAAACUCAAGGAGACCUGUGAUGCCCACCACAGAGGGCCUUUCAUGACUCACACUGGGUGCACCAAGCAGCACAGGUCUCAGACCCUAGGAGUUCAAUGGCUGUCAUUUCAGAAAAGCUUGGUGACUUUACAAGCUGUGUCAAGGCCAUUUAUCAAGACCUAUACUGGGUAUCGGUGCAGCAGGUCCAUUCUCCACUGACCUGGGAGCAGCUCACUCAGCUUGCCCGGUUCUGGCGGCCUCUAUGUGCUCAGGUGCAGACCUUCUAUUUUAUAGCCACCCAGGUAGGUUAUG
Molecule: long non-coding RNA, 852 nt
Filed under: Homo sapiens (human)
Lineage: Eukaryota; Metazoa; Chordata; Mammalia; Primates; Hominidae
Description: novel transcript
Source: RNAcentral